GACGAACGCUGGCGGCGUGCCUAACACAUGCAAGUCGAACGGAAAGGCGCUGCGUUUGUGGGGCGCUCGAGUGGCGAACGCGUGAGUAACACGUGAGUAAACUGCCCUUGACUUUGGGAUAACUUCAGGAAACUGCGGCUAAUACCGGAUAUGAUCUCCUGCUGCAUGGGGGGGGUUGGAGAGAUUCGGCCGUUGGGGAUCGACUCGCGGCUUAUCAGCUUGAUGGUGGGGUAGUGGCUUACCAAGGCUUUGACGGGUAGGCGGCCUGAGAGGGGGACCGGCCUCAUUAGGACUGAGAGAGGGCCCAGUAUCCUACCGGCGGCAGCAGGCGGGAAUAUUGCACAGUGGGCGGACGCCUGAUGCAGCGACGCUGCGUGCGGGAUGCCCGCCUUCGGGUUGUGAACCGCUUUCGACUGUGACGAGGAGUGAGUGACGGUACUGGGUAAAAAAGCACCGGCUAACUACGUG
This 468-nucleotide ribosomal RNA is filed under the name uncultured bacterium. RNAcentral's name for it is "partial 16S ribosomal RNA". It matches the Rfam family "Bacterial small subunit ribosomal RNA", at positions 28 to 507 of the family's 1533-position model. The record is from RNAcentral.